CUGGCUUGUGAAAUUUCAGAGGGAAAAUUAAAGACUCUUCUCAGGGCCAUUGCUAUUUUGAUUGUGAAGAUUCUGUAGUUCUGGUUAGCUGGGGCUGAAGAAUCAGCUGUGAUUAACAAGAUACCAGAACUACUAAAGCAAAAACUUUGCAUUACUGGGACUAUUGAUGCUGGUUAGCUGGAGCUAAGAAAUUAGCGGUGAUUAAGAAGAGACCAGCAUCAUUGAGGUGACAUCUUCUGGGAAGUGUUUUCUGAGAGCACAGUGGCUGUGUUCCAGAGAUAGCCAAAGUUGUACCUUGUGCUGUGGCUGGACUUGGUAAUGUGUAAGGGUCACCCAGGUGGUACUGGUUUUGAAGGCAUGAAGGAGUUGAGCAGAGCAGCUGAGGCUUGGCACUGUGAGAGGCCAUGGAAGGCCAUUGGUGAAAGUGCAGCCUCAGUUGCAAUUGAUGGCCCAGGACUGAAGGGGUCAUGCAGUGUUUUGGAGAUGCCAGUACCAUGAGAUGACCACCAAGAGCAGCAGCAGCAGUGGAAUACAGGCAUCUUUCUGACCUGCUUGAGUUCCAGUCCUGACUUCCUUUGGUGAUGAACAGCAGUAUGGAAGUGCAUAGACAGCAUCUACCCGCCGUAUCAGCCACCAGCUUCAAGAUUCCGAGGGCCCUUGGAAGUCCUGCUGCAAAGAAAUGGCUCGCUAGAGCAUCAGAGCACGCAGCCGUGAAGUUAUCUUCUUGACUUAAAUAAUUUCAUGUGUACACACACGGCAGCAAGAACCACACGCACAGCACACCUCAGCACACCGCAAGCAACAUUAAAGAGACAGCGCCAUCUUCACUCUCCAGAGAUUGAAAAAAAAUACAUACACGCAAGAUGUGCAUUAGCCCACAUAAAAAUACCUGGAUUUGUUUUUUUAAGAGCUAAAAUAAAAUGCAUUAAAAUUG
Long non-coding RNA from Mus musculus (house mouse), 934 nucleotides. RefSeq annotates it as predicted gene, 34369. The record is from RefSeq and is a predicted model, not a curated record. Lineage: Eukaryota; Metazoa; Chordata; Mammalia; Rodentia; Muridae. The transcript is spliced from 2 exons.